CUUUAGAUUAUAUUGCGCGUCCAGUAUACAGGUCCCUGUUAAUGGACUGUUACUAUAGAAACAGUAGGUGUAAACCUAUGAUUUAUGUUUUAGCUGGAACUACUGUCAGAGCUGCUGUUGCAGAAUUCAGCCGCGCUGUGGUGUAAUCCAUAAAGAAGUUUUCAAAGUUGCUACUCCGGCUCUCACUGUGGCCUACACCUUUCAAGCUUCACAUGACAUCACCCAUAGAAAAGCUAAGCUGUGCCGGAGUGUUGGGUCUGGAGUGAUUGCAGGCAGCUGGUGCUGAGGUGAAGUGACAUGUGUCUUGACACGGCAGCUCUGUGUUCGCACUCUGACUGACAAGCGAGGGAAUGUGACAGUGUGCAUCUGCUUGUGCAGGAAAUGUUGACUGGUGGCUCUACACGCUGUUUUCGUGCAGCUUGAUUCUUACCGAGGCGACGGAAAGUAGAAGGAGACGCGGAUGCCCGCUGGGCGGCGGGCAGGAAACAGACGAAAGGAGUGAAUAACGAUAAAUGCUGCGCUGUAGCGAGGCAAUAUGAAGAAAAGAUUCCCAAACAUGGCCGCCCAAAAUAUCGGCUAGGUCGGUCAGGCAGCUCGGCCAAUUAUAGAACUGUGACAACCUGCAGGGGGCGAAGAUGGAAAUUCUCUGCUCCGAUGCAAUAAAUCAAAGCUGAAUGGCUCAUUUUCAAGGUGAGCACCAGCCCAGUUUUGGGAGGAGGGAGGGAGUGGAGAGUCAGAGAUUUGCUGCGAGGAAGCAGGAAUUGGGCCAUUGAGGACCUUCAGAGGACGGUUUGUGCAGUAAUCACCUUUGCUCGAACUUGCUAAUAAAUGUGGAAUCUAAUUGAACGAAUUUAGGUUUAUACAUGCUGAGACUAUCACAUUCUUGUUUGUUCUCGUUCAAACAAAUUAUUAUUUUUUUGAAGACAUAAAAACAAUUAAACUUACACCACACAGGUCCAGCUAUUAGGGUGGCAUUUUAAAGAAGCAUUCAUUUUCUGCUUGCACUCUGCAGGUUUUCUUUAAUCCAUCAUCUAAACGAAAACC
Ictalurus punctatus (channel catfish) is the source of this 1044-nucleotide long non-coding RNA. The record is from Ensembl. Lineage: Eukaryota; Metazoa; Chordata; Actinopteri; Siluriformes; Ictaluridae.